Cheilinus undulatus (humphead wrasse) is the source of this 540-nucleotide long non-coding RNA. RefSeq lists it as uncharacterized. The record is from RefSeq and is a predicted model, not a curated record. Lineage: Eukaryota; Metazoa; Chordata; Actinopteri; Labriformes; Labridae. The transcript is spliced from 5 exons.
GUUGAGGAAGCCUUUUCUUUCCCACAAUGCACAGCGGCAUUCAGCGCUUUAUAAAUGUAUACGUGACUUCCGUUCUGCCUUUCAGUCUGAACCAUGCUCCCUGGAAGUUUCUUCGACUUUAACUUAAAUAUUAAAGUCUUCCCUCCGUGCUGAUGAAGUUUUGGAGCCAAGCUGCAGUUAUGGGAUAGAGCUACAAACCUGAUGUCCUGCAUGUUGGACUCGAGGCAGAGAGAGACUGUGAUGAGCUGCUCAAUGCUGACCUGAAUGUCCGUCUGCUUGCUGACUGAUGGAGCAGAUAGAGCUACUGGCCUGCAGGGGGCAGUAAACGCCAAGAGGAGCACAAACUGGCCCAGUGUGUUGGUAGAAACGUGCCGGCUGGUCUUGAUGGGACGUCCUCGCUGGAUGUGACACUGACAUGCCCGUGUUCGUAGAUCUCUGCAUCACUUGGAGUUUGGUGAUGCACAUAAGCUGUAAAGCUAUUUAAGUGUUGCCCACUUUGACGCCUUCUUACAUGUUUAAUAAAACUUGGAUCAUUCAGAA